This 497-nucleotide ribosomal RNA is filed under the name uncultured bacterium. RNAcentral's name for it is "partial 16S ribosomal RNA". It matches the Rfam family "Bacterial small subunit ribosomal RNA", at positions 28 to 507 of the family's 1533-position model. The record is from RNAcentral.
GAUGAACGCUGGCGGCGUGCCUAAUACAUGCAAGUCGAGCGAACAGACGAGGAGCUUGCUCCUCUGACGUUAGCGGCGGACGGGUGAGUAACACGUGGAUAACCUACCUAUAAGACUGGGAUAACUUCGGGAAACCGGAGCUAAUACCGGAUAAUAUAUUGAACCGCAUGGUUCAAUAGUGAAAGACGGUUUUGCUGUCACUUAUAGAUGGAUCCGCGCCGCAUUAGCUAGUUGGUAAGGUAACGGCUUACCAAGGCAACGAUGCGUAGCCGACCUGAGAGGGUGAUCGGCCACACUGGAACUGAGACACGGUACAGACUCCUACGGGAGGCAGCAGUAGGGAAUCUUCCGCAAUGGGCGAAAGCCUGACGGAGCAACGCCGCGUGAGUGAUGAAGGUCUUCGGAUCGUAAAACUCUGUUAUUAGGGAAGAACAAAUGUGUAAGUAACUAUGCACGUCUUGACGGUACCUAAUCAGAAAGCCACGGCUAACUACGUG